This 264-nucleotide ribosomal RNA is filed under the name uncultured Bacillus sp. Its description in RNAcentral is "partial 16S ribosomal RNA". It matches the Rfam family "Bacterial small subunit ribosomal RNA", at positions 1120 to 1382 of the family's 1533-position model. The record is from RNAcentral. Lineage: Bacteria; Bacillati; Bacillota; Bacilli; Caryophanales; Bacillaceae.
AACGCGUGAAGGCGAGCGACUCUAGACGAACUGCCGUUGGACAAAACGGAGGAAGGUGGGAUGACGUCAAAUCAUCAUGCCCUUAUGUUCUGGGCUACACACGUGCUACAAUGGCCGGUACAGACGGACGCAAAGCCGCGAGGUGGAGCAAAUCCUAAAAAGCCGGUCUCAGUUCGGAUUGCAGGCUGCAAUUCCGCCUGCAUGAAGUCGGAAUCGCUAGUAAUCGCAGGUCAGCAUACUGCGGUGAAUACGUUCCCGGGCCUU